AGGGCUGCUGUCACCCCAGCCCCUGACACAUCCAGUAGAUGGCGCCAAAGCUGAGAAUGGUUCCUUCUGAGAACAUGAACUAUGUGCACCAAAGUCUCACCAUCUUUGCUUCUAAGAAGGAUUCUGGCUGGAUUUCCUCCGAGAUGUAUUUGUUCCUUCUGGCAGGCUAUGGGAAGUAAAGGUGCAAUCCAUACUGAUCGUCAGCAGCAAAUGCUUCAAGUCUUCAGCAAGUAAGGUCACGUCACCUGCACACCACCUUCCUUCAAUCCAGACGCUGUGUUUUUCAUAGUCUAAUUUCUUGGAUUAUUUGCUCA
Molecule: long non-coding RNA, 314 nt
Organism: Echinops telfairi (small Madagascar hedgehog)
Lineage: Eukaryota; Metazoa; Chordata; Mammalia; Afrosoricida; Tenrecidae
Exons: 3
Source: RefSeq, a predicted model, not a curated record